Molecule: ribosomal RNA, 497 nt
Filed under: uncultured bacterium
Lineage: Bacteria
Description: partial 16S ribosomal RNA
Rfam family: Bacterial small subunit ribosomal RNA
Source: RNAcentral
GAUGAACGCUGGCGGCGUGCCUAAUACAUGCAAGUCGAGCGAACGGACGAGAAGCUUGCUUUUCUGAUGUUAGCGGCGGACGGGUGAGUAACGCGUGGAUAACCUACCUAUAAGACUGGGAUAACUUCGGGAAACCGGAGCUAAUACCGGAUAAUAUUUUGAACCGCAUGGUUCAAAAGUGAAAGACGGCCUUGCUGUCACUUAUAGAUGGAUCCGCGCUGCAUUAGCUAGUUGGUAAGGUAACGGCUUACCAAGGCAACGAUGCAUAGCCGACCUGAGAGGGUGAUCGGCCACACUGGAACUGAGACACGGUCCAGACUCCUACGGGAGGCAGCAGUAGGGAAUCUUCCGCAAUGGGCGAAAGCCUGACGGAGCAACGCCGCGUGAGUGAUGAAGGUCUUCGGAUCGUAAAACUCUGUUAUUAGGGAAGAACAUAUGUGUAAGUAACUGUGCACAUCUUGACGGUACCUAAUCAGAAAGCCACGGCUAACUACGUG